RNAcentral lists this ribosomal RNA (243 nucleotides) under Paenibacillus agri. RNAcentral's name for it is "Bacterial large subunit ribosomal RNA". It matches the Rfam family "Bacterial large subunit ribosomal RNA", at positions 852 to 1094 of the family's 2925-position model. Lineage: Bacteria; Bacillati; Bacillota; Bacilli; Caryophanales; Paenibacillaceae. The record is from Rfam by way of RNAcentral.
GUUCUCCCCGAAAUAGCUUUAGGGCUAGCCUCGGUAUAAAAGUAGUGGAGGUAGAGCACUGAUUGGGUGCGGGGCCCGCAAGGGUUACCAAGCUCAGUCAAACUCCGAAUGCCAUAUACUUAUUGCCGGGAGUCAGACAGUGAGUGCUAAGAUCCAUUGUCAAAAGGGAAACAGCCCAGACCAUCAGCUAAGGUCCCCAAGUGUGUGUUAAGUGGGAAAGGAUGUGGAGUUGCACAGACAACC